AUUAAUCAUAUCUCACUGAAAAGAUCACUGUACAAUACAACUUUAUUGAUGUGUGUGUAACGACUGCUGUUCUACGCUAAACCGAAAGCGGACAGCUUAAUUCUCGAUAGGGAAAUGAGCGGAGUCUGGGAUCUGGAGAAUGGGGGUAAUACGCGAUGAGUAAUACCAGAAACGCUAAUGAGGCCAAGACGACUUACUCAUCGAAGAUGUCGAAGGAGGUGGAGUCUGUCGACGGACUCAUACUGAUUCCUACGAACAGGAGGUAGAGGAAAAUGCAAAUCCCAGCAGCAGUAUAUCAACGGAAAGGCAACGCCACACAAUAAACCAAAUUCUAAUAUGAAACAUGAACGUUAGAUGGAUUUAACAAAGAAAAAGAAAUAUAAGUUUGAAGCUUGAUUCAGUGCGAGCCAACCAAAGCAAAUACAAUUCAGAGAGUUUCAAAGACAACUUCUUGUUUCCUUCUACAAGAUUCCGGUUCUUUGGAUUCUUCUGGGCCAGAAGAGGGUGCAGGGAGAAUCACGGCGAGAAAGAGAGAUAGAUAGAGGGGCCGAGACCCAGCAGACGUAAUUAAUGAUCCCGAAAACGUUGACGACGGCAACCAGCAGCAGCAGCAGCAGCAGAAUUAAACCCAUGAAGGGGCAAACGCAUGUUUUGGACCUUUUUUAACGCUUUUGGCCGGUUGGCAGA
Drosophila subpulchrella is the source of this 687-nucleotide long non-coding RNA. RefSeq lists it as uncharacterized. The transcript is spliced from 3 exons. Lineage: Eukaryota; Metazoa; Arthropoda; Insecta; Diptera; Drosophilidae. The record is from RefSeq and is a predicted model, not a curated record.